RNAcentral lists this ribosomal RNA (675 nucleotides) under Candidatus Uzinura diaspidicola. Its description in RNAcentral is "bacterial SSU rRNA". It matches the Rfam family "Bacterial small subunit ribosomal RNA", at positions 512 to 1188 of the family's 1533-position model. Lineage: Bacteria; Pseudomonadati; Bacteroidota; Flavobacteriia; Flavobacteriales. The record is from RNAcentral.
CAGCCGCGGUAAUACGAAAGACACAAGCGUUAUCCGGAUUUAUUGGGUUUAAAGGGUGUGUAGGCUGUUUAUUAAGUCAGUAGUGAAAGCUUACAGCUUAACUGUAAAAUUGCUAUUGAUACUGAUAGACUUGAGUAAGAUUGGAGCAUUUGGAAUGUAUGGUGUAGCGGUGAAAUGCAUAGAUAUCAUACAGAACACCAAUAGCGAAGGCAGGAUGCUAAAUCUUCACUGACGCUGAGGCACUAAAGCGUGGGGAGCAAACAGGAUUAGAUACCCCUGGUAGUCCACUGCCCUAAACUAUGAUCACUAGCUAUUGGAAAAACUAUAUUCAGUGGCCAAGCCAAAGCGAUAAGUGAUCCACCUGGGAAGUACGAUCGCAAGAUUGAAACUCAAAGGAAUUGACGGGGUUCCGCACAAGCGGUGGAGCAUGUGGUUUAAUUCGAUGAUACGCGAGGAACCUUACCAAGGCUUAAAUGGAUUCCGAAUAAGCUGGAAACAACUUAGUCUAUAAGACGUAAUCCAAGGUGCUGCAUGGUUGUCUUCAGUUCGUGCUGUGAAGUGUUUGGUUAAGUCCUAUAACGAGCGCAACCCCUAUUGUUAGUUGCCAACGGGUAAAGCCGGGGACUCUAACAAAACUGCCGGCGCAAGUCGUGAGGAAGGUGGGGAUAAUGUCAA